AUUGAACGCUGGCGGCAGGCCUAACACAUGCAAGUCGAGCGGAAACGAUCCUAGCUUGCUAGGAGGCGUCGAGCGGCGGACGGGUGAGUAAUGCAUAGGAAUCUGCCCGGUAGUGGGGGAUAACGUGGGGAAACUCACGCUAAUACCGCAUACGCCCUACGGGGGAAAGCAGGGGAUCUUCGGACCUUGCGCUAUCGGAUGAGCCUAUGUCGGAUUAGCUUGUUGGUGAGGUAAUGGCUCACCAAGGCGACGAUCCGUAGCUGGUCUGAGAGGAUGAUCAGCCACACUGGGACUGAGACACGGCCCAG
This 308-nucleotide ribosomal RNA is filed under the name uncultured bacterium. Its description in RNAcentral is "bacterial SSU rRNA". It matches the Rfam family "Bacterial small subunit ribosomal RNA", at positions 30 to 334 of the family's 1533-position model. The record is from RNAcentral.